This is a long non-coding RNA of Orcinus orca (killer whale), 568 nucleotides long. RefSeq lists it as uncharacterized. The record is from RefSeq and is a predicted model, not a curated record. NCBI's taxonomy places the organism in Eukaryota, Metazoa, Chordata, Mammalia, Artiodactyla, Delphinidae. The transcript has 4 exons.
GCUCUCUGCUGCCAGUCACAGGGAGCCCGAAACCGCUCUGACACUCACCGCAACGAUGACAGAUCCUCCCCGAAGCCUGGCCAGCCGCAAACACGCGCAUUGUUCUCCCUGUCAGCCCGCUAUUGAAAGAAGAUUGGAGAAGGAUGAUCCCUUCCACAAAGGACAAGCUGGAAACGAGGGAUCACCGUGUUGCCUCCACCGGAAUCCUGGAGAAGGUCCAGCAGAAAAGAAAAGCCUGCUCCAUUUGCCUGGGACAAGCCCCACGAUGUACGUCGUUGGAGAUGAGUCCACCUCUCUUCCCUUUGUUUAUGGAGCACCUGUUCAUGGCAGAGAGUGGGAAGCAUGCUGGUGUGCCUAGAAUAGCAAGCUCCAGAUUUCUGCAGGGAACCCCUGAGGGCAGCCUGUGUCCUGGAGAGGUGAAACUUCAGAGCCCCACGGGGCCGCCAAGAGACACACCCCACAGUCUGUCCGUCUGUGCGCUCCCGUGUCAGUGUGCUGCUCUCCGUAAUCUGAAGUAUAACGCGACGAGGUGUUUCCUAACAGAUAAAAUGCCAUGUUUAGAAAGCUC